CCUACGGGUGGCAGCAGUGAGGAAUAUUGGUCAAUGGGCGCGAGCCUGAACCAGCCAAGUCGCGUGAGGGAAGACGGUCCUAUGGAUUGUAAACCUCUUUUGUCGGGGAGCAAAAGACGCCACGCGUGGCGUUCCGAGAGUACCCGAAGAAAAAGCAUCGGCUAACUCCGUGCCAGCAGCCGCGGUAAUACGGAGGAUGCGAGCGUUAUCCGGAUUUAUUGGGUUUAAAGGGUGCGUAGGCGGUUUGAUAAGUUAGAGGUGAAAUGUCGGGGCUCAACCCCGAAACUGCCUCUAAUACUGUUGGACUAGAGAAUAGUUGCGGUAGGCGGAAUGUAUGGUGUAGCGGUGAAAUGCUUAGAGAUCAUACAGAACACCGAUUGCGAAGGCAGCUUACCAAACUAUAUCUGACGUUGAGGCACGAAAGCGUGGGUAGCAAACAGGAUUAGAUACCCUAGUAGUC
Molecule: ribosomal RNA, 460 nt
Filed under: uncultured bacterium
Lineage: Bacteria
Description: partial 16S ribosomal RNA
Rfam family: Bacterial small subunit ribosomal RNA
Source: RNAcentral